GCAUAUCAAUAAGCGGAGGAAAAGAAACCAACAGGGAUUCCCCUAGUAACGGCGAGUGAAGCGGGAACAGCUCAAAUUUGAAAUCUGGCCCUCGGGUCCGAGUUGUAAUUUGUAGAGGAUGCUUUUGGUGCGGUGCCUUCCGAGUUCCCUGGAACGGGACGCCUUAGAGGGUGAGAGCCCCGUACGGUUGGACGCCUAGCCUCUGUAAAGCUCCUUCGACGAGUCGAGUAGUUUGGGAAUGCUGCUCUAAAUGGGAGGUAUAUUUCUUCUAAAGCUAAAUACUGGCCAGAGACCGAUAGCGCACAAGUAGAGUGAUCGAAAGAUGAAAAGCACUUUGAAAAGAGGGUUAAAUAGCACGUGAAAUUGUUGAAAGGGAAGCGUUUAUCACCAGACUUUUUCUGGGGGGAUCAUCCGGUGUUCUCACCGGUACACUUCCCCCAGUUGAGGCCAGCAUCGGUUUUCGGAGGGGGAUAAAAGCUUCGGGAAUGUGGCUCCCUCGGGAGUGUUAUAGCCCGUUGCAUAAUACCCUUCUGGGGACCGAGGUUCGCGCAUCUGCAAGGAUGCUGGCAUAAUGGUGAUCAACGACCCGUCUUGAAACACGGACC
This 605-nucleotide ribosomal RNA is filed under the name uncultured fungus. RNAcentral's name for it is "LSU rRNA". It matches the Rfam family "Eukaryotic large subunit ribosomal RNA", at positions 38 to 667 of the family's 3401-position model. Lineage: Eukaryota; Fungi. The record is from RNAcentral.